This 76-nucleotide small RNA is filed under the name Xanthomonas campestris. RNAcentral's name for it is "sRNA sX9". It matches the Rfam family "Xanthomonas sRNA sX9". The record is from RNAcentral. RNAcentral also lists the same sequence under 1 other name. Lineage: Bacteria; Pseudomonadati; Pseudomonadota; Gammaproteobacteria; Lysobacterales; Lysobacteraceae.
ACGUCCCCCCCGUACACUCCGGGUGCUCCGCGCCGCCGCACCCACCUGACAACCUGCUCGCUACGUUUUGUUAACC